This 101-nucleotide small nucleolar RNA is filed under the name Tetrahymena thermophila. RNAcentral's name for it is "partial box H/ACA snoRNA". Lineage: Eukaryota; Ciliophora; Oligohymenophorea; Hymenostomatida; Tetrahymenidae. The record is from RNAcentral.
GAUAAAUACUAGAUGAAUAUAAAUUUUUAGACAUAGGAGAAUAGAAUAUAAUUAAAAUCGAUAUGAAGAACAAACAUGAAUAUAUUAACAAAGAAUAUGAA